GUGCUCACUUCAGCAGCACAUACACUAAAAUUGGAACGAUACAGAGAUUAGCAUGGCCCUGCGCAAGGAUGACACACAAAUUCAUAAAGCGUUCCGUAUUUUU
RNAcentral lists this small nuclear RNA (103 nucleotides) under Tupaia belangeri (northern tree shrew). The record is from RNAcentral. Lineage: Eukaryota; Metazoa; Chordata; Mammalia; Scandentia; Tupaiidae.